RNAcentral lists this ribosomal RNA (468 nucleotides) under uncultured bacterium. RNAcentral describes it as "partial 16S ribosomal RNA". It matches the Rfam family "Bacterial small subunit ribosomal RNA", at positions 28 to 507 of the family's 1533-position model. The record is from RNAcentral.
GACGAACGCUGGCGGCGUGCUUAACACAUGCAAGUCGAACGGAAAGGCCCUGCUUUUGUGGGGUGCUCGAGUGGCGAACGGGUGAGUAACACGUGAGUAACCUGCUCUUGACUUUGGGAUAACUUCAGGAAACUGGGGCUAAUAUCGGAUAGGAGCUCCUGCUGCAUGGUGGGGGUUGGAAAGUUUCGGCGGUUGGGGAUGGACUCGCGGCUGAUCAGCUUGUUGGUGGGGUAGUGGCUUACCAAGGCUUUGACGGGUAGCCGGCCUGAGAGGGUGAACGGCCACAUUGGGCCUGAGAGACGGACCAGACUCCUACGGGAGGCAGCAGUGGGGAAUAUUGCACAAUGGGCGGAAGCCUGAUGCAGCAACGCCGCGUGCGGGAUGACGGCCUUCGGGUUGUAAACCGCUUUCGCCUGUGACGAAGCGUGAGUGACGGUAAUGGGUAAAGAAGCACCGGCUAACUACGUG